UACGUAGGGUGCGAGCGUUAAUCGGAAUUACUGGGCGUAAAGCGUGCGCAGGCGGUUGCUGAAGUCCGUUGUGAAAGCCCCGGGCUUAACCUGGGAAUGGCAGUGGAAACUAGGCGACUUGAAUCUGGCAGAGGGGGGUGGAAUGCCACGUGUAGCAGUGAAAUGCGUAGAGAUGUGGCGGAACACCGAUGGCGAAGGCAGCCCCCUGGGUCGAGAUUGACGCUCAGGCACGAAAGCGUGGGGAGCAAACAGG
This 253-nucleotide ribosomal RNA is filed under the name uncultured bacterium. RNAcentral's name for it is "partial 16S ribosomal RNA". It matches the Rfam family "Bacterial small subunit ribosomal RNA", at positions 524 to 776 of the family's 1533-position model. The record is from RNAcentral.